This 66-nucleotide transfer RNA is filed under the name Scolytinae sp. BMNH 1040080. RNAcentral's name for it is "tRNA-Leu". Lineage: Eukaryota; Metazoa; Arthropoda; Insecta; Coleoptera; Curculionidae. The record is from RNAcentral.
GUUGCUUUGGCAGAAUAGUGUAAUAGAUUUAGGAUCUUUGUAUGUAGUUAAUAUCUACAAGUAACA